Rhipicephalus microplus (southern cattle tick) is the source of this 285-nucleotide long non-coding RNA. NCBI's taxonomy places the organism in Eukaryota, Metazoa, Arthropoda, Arachnida, Ixodida, Ixodidae. The record is from RefSeq and is a predicted model, not a curated record.
AAGCGGUAGCCGGGCGGCGUCAAAAAAAUGACGGUUCGAUGAUGUUCUGCGCCAGCACGCACUCCAUGCCCUACAGUUAAAUUCUGCAGUGUCAAGUAGAGCAUCACCUUUAAAGGAUCGCGUAGAAGAUAGCUGCAAGAGGCAGCCCCAGACAAGCCACAAGGUCUCACUCACUGCUUCCCAGUCUUCUAAGAAGAGGAAGACAUCAGACACGCCAAGCACAUCUGACUUGGAGGACAAUUUAGUCCAAAGCAAAGUUAUUGACGCAAGUAAAGAAGCUAAAUU